UGCAGUCGAGCGGACCGACGGGAGCUUGCUCCCUUAGGUCAGCGGCGGACGGGUGAGUAACACGUGGGUAACCUGCCUGUAAGACUGGGAUAACUCCGGGAAACCGGGGCUAAUACCGGAUGCUUGAUUGAACCGCAUGGUUCAAUCAUAAAAGGUGGCUUUUAGCUACCACUUACAGAUGGACCCGCGGCGCAUUAGCUAGUUGGUGAGGUAACGGCUCACCAAGGCGACGAUGCGUAGCCGACCUGAGAGGGUGAUCGGCCACACUGGGACUGAGACACGGCCCAGACUCCUACGGGAGGCAGCAGUAGGGAAUCUUCCGCAAUGGACGAAAGUCUGACGGAGCAACGCCGCGUGAGUGAUGAAGGUUUUCGGAUCGUAAAACUCUGUUGUUAGGGAAGAACAAGUACCGUUCGAAUAGGGCGGUACCUUGACGGUACCUAACCAGAAAGCCACGGCUAACUACGUGCCAGCAGCCGCGGUAAUACGUAGGUGGCAAGCGUUGUCCGGAAUUAUUGGGCGUAAAGCGCGCGCAGGCGGUUUCUUAAGUCUGAUGUGAAAGCCCCCGGCUCAACCGGGGAGGGUCAUUGGAAACUGGGGAACUUGAGUGCAGAAGAGGAGAGUGGAAUUCCACGUGUAGCGGUGAAAUGCGUAAAGAUGUGGAGGAACACCAGUGGCGAAGGCGACUCUCUGGUCUGUAACUGACGCUGAGGCGCGAAAGCGUGGGGAGCGAACAGGAUUAGAUACCCUGGUAGUCCACGCCGUAAACGAUGAGUGCUAAGUGUUAGAGGGUUUCCGCCCUUUAGUGCUGCAGCAAACGCAUUAAGCACUCCGCCUGGGGAGUACGGUCGCAAGACUGAAACUCAAAGGAAUUGACGGGGGCCCGCACAAGCGGUGGAGCAUGUGGUUUAAUUCGAAGCAACGCGAAGAACCUUACCAGGUCUUGACAUCCUCUGACAACCCUAAAGAUAGGGCUUCCCCUU
Molecule: ribosomal RNA, 983 nt
Filed under: Bacillus licheniformis
Lineage: Bacteria; Bacillati; Bacillota; Bacilli; Caryophanales; Bacillaceae
Description: bacterial SSU rRNA
Rfam family: Bacterial small subunit ribosomal RNA
Source: RNAcentral